AUUGAACGCUGGCGGCAUGCUUUACACAUGCAAGUCGAACGGUAACAGGCCGCAAGGUGCUGACGAGUGGCGAACGGGUGAGUAAUGCAUCGGAACGUGCCCAGUCGUGGGGGACAACGCAGCGAAAGCUGUGCUAAUACCGCAUACGAUCUAUGGAUGAAAGCGGGGGACCGUAAGGCCUCGCGCGAUUGGAGCGGCCGAUGUCAGAUUAGCUAGUUGGUGGGGUAAAGGCCCACCAAGGCGACGAUCUGUAGCUGGUCUGAGAGGACGACCAGCCACACUGGGACUGAGACACGGCCCAGACUCCUACGGGAGGCAGCGGUGGGGAAUUUUGGACAAUGGGCGCAAGCCUGAUCCAGCAAUGCCGCGUGCAGGAAGAAGGCCUUCGGGUUGUAAACUGCUUUUGUACGGAACGAAACGGUCUGGGUUAAUACCCUGGGCUAAUGACGGUACCGUAAGAAUAAGCACCGGCUAACUACGUGCCAGCCGCCGCCGUAA
This 498-nucleotide ribosomal RNA is filed under the name uncultured bacterium. RNAcentral describes it as "partial 16S ribosomal RNA". It matches the Rfam family "Bacterial small subunit ribosomal RNA", at positions 29 to 523 of the family's 1533-position model. The record is from RNAcentral.